GUUUAGUUAACGCAAUAGUUUCGGCCAAUCACCGUGUAGCCACAACAAAAAACAUAAGCGCGCCAAUCGGAAGGCCAACUGGGAGCGUCGCUUCUUGUCACUCUUCCGGUCCGCCAUUUUAUUGCGGUUUAGAGGUUGUUUGCGGUGUGCAGGGAUAUUUUUCAAAGUUAUAUGAAUUAAAAUUAAAAUAGAUAUAAGUGACGAACAUUUAAGAGAAUGGUGCCGCAAACCAAAGUGUUCGUCGGCAGCCUGCCGCAGGGCUCCAAACCUGACGAGCUCCGUAAGCUUUUCGAACGGUUUGGCGUCGUGACAGAAUGUGAUAUCAUGAACCGCUGCGGGUUCGUUCACAUGCAAACCGAGGAGCAGGCAACGGCCGCCAUCCGCGGCCUUAACAAUACAUCUUUCAACGGCGGCGUGAUCUCAGUGGAGCGCGGCCGCAUCAAGGAGCGCGGACAGCGCGGCGGCGGCCGAGGCGGGCGCGGAGGCAUGCGUGGCGGCAUGGACCGGCGCGGCGGCGGGCCCAUGCGGGGUGCGCCGGGGCCCGGCCGUGACGCGCCCUACAUGCGGGACGCGCGGCCCAUGGGACACAUGCGGGGCCACAUGGGCGGCGGCAUGGGCGCACGUAACGGCAUGCCGUACGAGCGCGGACCUGAGCGUCCCCCGCCGCCGGCCGCGUCCUAUGACGACCGGUACGGAGGCUACGGCGGCGAGGACCGGCGCGGGUUCGCGCUGAUGGACCGCGGCCCACGAGACCCGUAUGCCGCACCUGCGCCCAUGUACCCUGAUGACAGCAGGUACUCGAACCACAUCUCCGUGGUGGAGGGCAGCCGUCGCGGGUACAGCGCGGGCAUGGGCGAGGAGCUGGCGUACGACGAGCGGCGGCUGUACGACGAGCGCGACGUGCUGGAGCGGCGCUCGCGCGGGCCCGUGCCGCACGCGCCGCACGCCGCGCACGCGCCGCACGCCGGCUACGAGCGCGCGCCGCCGCGCCCGCCGCCCGCGCCGCAGCCCGACAUGUACAGCCGCCGCGAGCCCAUGUACGCGCCGCAAGACAACCUGCGCGGCCCGGCCGGCCCCGCGGGUUACGACAGAGACCCCUAUGCACAACAGUAUCCACCCAUGGGACGCGGGGGCGGAGCGCCGCGCGGUAGGGAGCUGGCCGGAGGCAUGGGCCCGCGCCGCUACUAGCGCCGCCACUGGCGCCAGUACUGUCCACCACUAGCGCCGCGCCGGACCUAGACAUAAGUAGCAUAAGUCGACGUGACACGAACAAAUGUAGCCGUUAGUCGUGCGAACUGCGACGCCGCGCCGCGACGCUCGGCUCCUUCCGUACCGUGUUGUAAUAUUGUAAGUCUCGGAUUGGAUGCAAUUAUGACGAUCACUAUACAUUAAUAAACGAGGACAAAUCAAACGGAACGAUUUCAUUUUGGACCCGAUGGUGUGAUGUGUUGUACGACCAUGAUACUCUAUCCAUGUUGUAUAUCGACAUCCCUAAUUGUUAAGAUCCAUUUUAUUUAAGCUGUAAAUUCAUUUUUUAGAUUAAAUUUAUAAUUUAUAGAUUAUUUUAUCUUUCAUUAACCAUCCCGGCACUAAAUUAUUUUGGAUGCAUGACCUUCUUUGUCCCUGCCAGCUUCUCUCUGCUUCUUCUGUGGUUGCGGUACAUUUGAUGAAAAUAUUGUUUUAUUGCAGGACUUUUCUAUACAGGCCUGACUUAGGGUCGGCUUGUAUUCUCAGAUUUUAUAUUUAUCAAAGAGUAUCUGAAAUACAAUCUGUGAAGGGGUGCGUUCACUGGGCAGUGCGUUUGCUUCAAUAAUGAAGGAAAUAAACGUAAAAUAUUCAAUUUUACGUAUUUCAAGUAUAUAUCAUAUAAUUUAGGGAUGAGGCGUUUAAAACCAUUGGCAGUAAAAAAAUCUUAUGCGGAAUUCCUUUACAAUAAUUGCAUGAGAAUUAAUUAUAAUAUCUUAAAUAGGGUUUCACGGUAAAUCGCGAUCUCAGUAUAACAAGUAAUCAUUACGCAGGUAAAUAAAUAAAAAGGCCCUAUUUACAUGAUUGAGCACGCAUAGACCACGCUGUCUCGCAUGAUAUAUCGUUUAAUCACGAUUAACAGCCGUUUUCAACAGUCGAUCCCAAUCUCAAUCUUUAAUCCUAUUCCGAGAAUGAACCAAUCAAAAUUACUCGUAUUGGUAAACAUGUCAAAAACACUUUGUUCUGAUUGGUUCAUUUUUGGUAUCAUUUAUUGAUAAUGGUGGUAAAUCACGAUAUCGAAUUAUUGGUUGUUAGAUCAGAAGAUUUUAAACCAAAUCUUUUUUUAAUUACUACAUCAUCUCACUGCCAAGUCGGUGUUAGAGAACCUUCGUAUGUUCGAUAAUACGGGCUUCGUUUAAUUUUAUGUGGCCCUUUCGGAUGGAAUAGACGUAAAUAGCGGCUGCAUGUUUAUAAAGAAAAUAAAAAUACAUGCGUACACUCCUAUCGUACGAAUAUUUAUAUUUUAACUCAACAUGGAACGCACCCCAUAAUCACUGGACAGGUAUUUUUUAUUUAUUGGAUAAGAUUGCAGAGUUUGGUGAAAGCAGAUGAUCAGUGCGUCAGAUUACGUCAGCGGUGUCAGGCGACAGGUCUAAGUAUGACCAAAGUUAUGUCACGACUCACGACUCUCGGCGAUACUGGCGUACAGCAAAGGUGAAUGUUAUAUACGAGCGGUGCACGUCCCCACUGCCACGAACAUGCACACUAUACUGAACCAUGGCCUACUUGAUCCAGAAAUAUGAUGAAUUUGAGUGAUUAUAAAACGUAUUGAACUGUGCUCGACCGCAGCGGUCUCGGCUACUCAACUUGUGGCAGACGUGAUGCUCGAUUCGAAACAGAGCCGCAAAAGUACUGGGUUUUGCUCUAUGGAUAUAAAUAUAAUUUUGUAUACAUUUGAUAUGAACACUUACGUUACGAAACACAGUUUCGGAUUGCGUAUUUGUGCAAUGGAGUAUGUGCGGAGCGAGGCUGGCGCACAUCCAGUAGGCGAUUCGGCUUGCUCUAUGCUAAUCUCGGUUCUCGAGUGAACCAGCAGUGCGUGCGAGUACUUACAGUUAUUAGCGGCGCGACGUUCGGGCGGGCGGCGAUGCGUUCUCGGUAUCGGCGAUGUCGCAUACGUUAGGCGGCGGCGGCGAGGGCGCGGCGGCACACACUGUACUACGGACCAAGUUGAUGGACUCGUCUCGUGAUGGGAGGCUCAAGAUAUUAUACAACGCCGGAAGGCGGCUAGUCAGUUCUGAUAAGAAGUCGGAGGAGUUUGUCGUAUGAAUAAAAGCUAUGAUUAAA
RNA transcript from Manduca sexta (tobacco hornworm), 3312 nucleotides. It is a transcript of the gene named RNA-binding protein lark, with no coding region annotated. The transcript is spliced from 6 exons. Lineage: Eukaryota; Metazoa; Arthropoda; Insecta; Lepidoptera; Sphingidae. The record is from RefSeq and is a predicted model, not a curated record.